This is a long non-coding RNA of Mytilus californianus (California mussel), 2287 nucleotides long. RefSeq lists it as uncharacterized. Lineage: Eukaryota; Metazoa; Mollusca; Bivalvia; Mytilida; Mytilidae. The transcript has 2 exons. The record is from RefSeq and is a predicted model, not a curated record.
AAAACACAAGUGAACCAACGCCUGGUAAAUCUUCUGUCAGUAGAUUCCAUAAAGUGGAUACCUCAGGUAUGCAGGGUCGUUACGAUAAAAACAUAAAAUGUAGAAGGUCCAGUAACAACAACACUUUAAGGAAUGCUCCAGCAAUUUAUUGAGAUCGACAUGUUUCGGUGGCUAGGCCACCGUCAUCAGGAUAGAAAACAAUACAUAAAAUCAUGCUGAGGCUUAAAUAUGUAUAAAACUAUUUGUAAAUGUUCAUUAAGAAAUAAAUAUUCCUCAAUCUGAACUUGGAAUUGUUUUACAAUUGUCACUUUAUAGUUUACUAUGCUGUUUGUGUUUUGGUCAUUGUUGAAGGCCAUACAGAGACCUGUAGUUAACUUCUAUAUCAUUUGGUAAAAAAAAUUUGCGGUCGUAUAAAAAUUUACUUAAAUCUGAGUUCCAGAUUUUGUCCAAUGGACAAACCAGAUUUUUUUACAAUCAAAAGGUUGCUUCUUUUUAUCAAUCUCAACAACAGUGCAAGGUUUUGAGGAAAUCAAUCAAAGCAUACUGAAUAUUGUGAUAAGUGAAAAAUGUUGGAUUCAUGGACAAGUCCCAUAACUCACGAUUUACAAAAGUGAUAAUCAUGAAAAUUGGAAGGAUCUUACUUUGAUCAAUUCUAAUCCUAUGAUAAAUUUUCAGUAAAUGGCAUUACACCAAAGUUGAGUUAUUUUACAACAUUUGAGACAAUGUCAUUUUUUCUAUGAAUAAAGUCCUACAACUCUGUAACGAACAAAAUUGGAAAAUGUCAAAAUAGAAAGAAUGCUUUCUUCAAACAAUCUUAAUGCAGUGUUAAAAUUUCAUGAGAAUUGGUUACAGCAAUUUUAGUUAUGGUAUGAAGUGUUGUCAUACAGACAGAAGGACAGACUAAGGUAUACCAUAGUACAGCCGGUCUAAAACCUGCAUUUAAAAGAGAAAAUAACAGGUAAACUGUUUGAUAGGUUCUUCACAGAAAUAUUGCUUUAAUCUAAUGGGAUACAUGUAUUUACCUAAAUCUACAAUAGUAUAAAUUCUUGUGUCUGAAAUAUCAAAUAAAGAAAACAAAUCAUAAGCUCAAACUUUUAAUAUUCAGGUAGGCCAUGGAAUAACAAAACAAAUAUUAAAGGCAAUACCAUGCCAAUAAAUAACCAAACAAUGCUUACAAAUAUACAAAAUAACAUUGCUUCACAAUUCAGAUACACAUUAUUGCUACUCCAGAUAUUUAGUUCAAUAUCUUCUAAUAAUAUUGAUGAAAGAAUGUUCAAUGCCAUUCUAUAGUUGACUUCUAAUUUUGUAAAGUGUAUAAAUUAAUAAUCAGUUUUGGAAUUGAUAGUUCAGUCCAAAUUUACAGAAGAAACUUUUCAUUCAUUUCAAACUGUGAUACUUAUCUUACAUUUUUGCAAGCAAUCAUUUUGUGUUUAUCAUCAUGUCCAUGUUAACAUCGACAUCUUUCCAAUUUAUAAGUAAAAUAAUUUGUUAAUUCAUCUGUCAAUCUCUUUCUUGUUUUUAUAUAUGUAAUUAUAAAAAUAAAUAAUUUUAUAUUUGCCAAAAAUACUUCUCCUAAAUGCAAGUCAUAACAUGUAUUUCCAAAAAAUUUAAUAAAGUUCUCUUAAAGGUAAUAAAAUACUAAUUAAGAUAGAAAUAGUAAAUGAUUUCACUAUGCUUUACUGCUGCACCCAACUUGGCAGCAUAUGCACAGUGAAACUAGACUUUUCCAAAUAUACAAACUACACCCAAUUUGGCAGUUGUAUAAAAAGUUGUAAAUUUACAAUUCAAUCUUAUUGAACAUGCUAGAGUUUAUCAUGCUGUUUCAAAUAAAUCUUAAUGCUUACCCUUUCCCCCCAACCAAAUAAGACCAAAGAGAUCCUGCAGCAGGUCUAUGAACAAACCAACUUCAAUAUUCUUUGAAAUAUUCAUUGAAGAGACAUUUAAAAGGACUCUUAAAUUCAACGUCUUUUUUAAAAUUAUAAGCAAAAUCCAAUUGAGCAGAAAAAUUAUUGGGUAUCUCAAAGCUUUCUUCUCUCAAUUUUUGCAUCCCCUAUAUUUUUGAGAUGACAACCAGUUCCAUGACUGUUAUCAAAUUAGUCACAGAUAUCAGAUUUUUUGUCCUUUUAAUUAUUUUACAUGUAUAUACCGUAAUAAAAAAACACUAUGCUUUAUAUUACCAUAUAUCCAUUUCAUAUUAAACACAUAUAAACAAUUGACAAUAUAUAAUGCAAUGAUGGAUUAUUUUAAUUUGAUAACAAUGUAUAAAAUUAAUGUUUUGCUUAAUUAU